This 279-nucleotide unclassified non-coding RNA is filed under the name plant metagenome. RNAcentral describes it as "partial contains small subunit ribosomal RNA, internal transcribed spacer 1, and 5.8S ribosomal RNA". The record is from RNAcentral.
UUUCCGUAGGUGAACCUGCGGAGGGAUCAUUAUUGUAUAACAUAACUGCGAGGCCUGUCGCUAACCCGAUAGGUCGUGCACCCCCGAGUGCCCUCACACGCGGCCAUCGCACCCCUUUUUGGACCACCGCUUGGAACCCGCUGAGGCAUGUGCGUGUGGUGACUGACCUUUUCAAACAAUCUUCGAAUGCAGUGUAGGCUGUAUUUUUUGUGUUUACGGCCGCACAAUGAAUACAACUUUCAACAACGGACCGCUUCGCUCUCGCAUCGAGUAAGAACG